AGCAGGGCAGUGCAGUGGGAGCGUGCUGGGCCUGUAACCUAGAGGUCAAUGGAUCGAAGCCAUCCUCUGCUA
RNAcentral lists this transfer RNA (72 nucleotides) under Alligator mississippiensis (American alligator). It matches the Rfam family "tRNA". From Rfam's summary of the family: Transfer RNA (tRNA) molecules are approximately 80 nucleotides in length. Lineage: Eukaryota; Metazoa; Chordata; Crocodylia; Alligatoridae. The record is from Rfam by way of RNAcentral.